UUAUGGCUCAGGAUGAACGCUGGCGGCGUGCUAGCACAUGCAAGUCGAACGAAGCAUUGAGCGGAAGCCUUCGGGCCGAAGCUUUAUGACUGAGUGGCGGACGGGUGAGUAACGCGUGGGUAACCUGCCUCAUACAGGGGGAUAACAGUUGGAAACGACUGCUAAUACCGCAUAAGCCUACAGUAUCGCAUGGUACAGGAAGGUAAAAAAUUUAUUGGUAUGAGAUGGACCCGCGUCUGAUUAGUUAGUUGGUAGGGUAACGGCCUACCAAGGCGAUGAUCAGUAGCCGGCUUGAGAGAGUGGACGGCCACAUUGGGACUGAGACACGGCCCAAACUCCUACGGGAGGCAGCAGUGGGGAAUAUUGCACAAUGGGGGAAACCCUGAUGCAGCCGACGCCGCGUGAGUGAAGAAGUAUUUCGGUAUGUAAAGCUCUAUCAGCAGGGAAGAUAAUGACGGUACCUGACUAAGAAGCCCCGGCUAACUACGUGCCAGCCGCUGC
RNAcentral lists this ribosomal RNA (501 nucleotides) under uncultured bacterium. Its description in RNAcentral is "bacterial SSU rRNA". It matches the Rfam family "Bacterial small subunit ribosomal RNA", at positions 17 to 518 of the family's 1533-position model. The record is from RNAcentral.